This is a non-coding RNA of Myotis davidii, 107 nucleotides long. Lineage: Eukaryota; Metazoa; Chordata; Mammalia; Chiroptera; Vespertilionidae. The record is from Rfam.
GUGCUCGCUUCGGCAGCACACAUACUAAAAUUGGAAGGAUACAGAGAAGAUCAGCAUGGCCCCUGUGCAAGGAUGCCACGCAAAGUCGUGAAGUAUUCCAUAUUUAA